UUUGCCCCCUAUAUUAGUAACAAUAAUAUCGGCCUGGCCACUCAUUGCUUGCCAGUUGGUACUACUCGCAAGAACUAUCUCCGGCGCCGGCGACCCAUCAAGCCAUCAAGAAAUCCAGACCAAUCAGUUCGUUGGCACGCACGAUGGAUGUACGUGUUGAGGUGAUCACAGCGAAGUCGGGAAGUCGACGGCUCCAGUGCAGAGACGAGUUGUGGUCGGCAGCGGACGAGCGGCUCGACAAUAGAGAUGAGUGGUGGUCGGCGACUCGACACGUUCGGCGCAACAUGCACAUCAGCGACGGCGAGGUGCCGAUGAUUAUAGUAUAUACGGAUGUGAAAAAACAUGGAAGAUUAGCAUGUGCUUAACAUCUAAAAUCACGUGUUUGAACUGGUAGGUUAUUAGUACUCUUCACUUAUUAUUGUAGAUGACAACAAAGAUUACAAAAAAGUAUUUGUUUGAUGA
Long non-coding RNA from Triticum aestivum (bread wheat), 462 nucleotides. RefSeq lists it as uncharacterized. The transcript is spliced from 2 exons. Lineage: Eukaryota; Viridiplantae; Streptophyta; Magnoliopsida; Poales; Poaceae. The record is from RefSeq and is a predicted model, not a curated record.